GUGGAUUAGAUACCCUGGUAGUCCACGCUGUAAACGAUGAAUACUAUGUGUAGGGGGUAUGAACUCCCCCUGUGCCGGAGCUAACGCAAUAAGUAUUCCGCCUGGGGAGUACGGCCGCAAGGUUGAAACUCAAAGGAAUUGACGGGGGCCCGCACAAGCAGCGGAGCAUGUGGUUUAAUUCGAAGCAACGCGAAGAACCUUACCAAGGCUUGACAUCUGCCUAAACUCAUGGAAACAUGAGGUCCCUUCGGGGGAGGCAAGACAGGUGGUGCAUGGCUGUCGCCAACU
This 288-nucleotide ribosomal RNA is filed under the name uncultured bacterium. RNAcentral's name for it is "partial 16S ribosomal RNA". It matches the Rfam family "Bacterial small subunit ribosomal RNA", at positions 773 to 1060 of the family's 1533-position model. The record is from RNAcentral.